Gymnogyps californianus (California condor) is the source of this 785-nucleotide long non-coding RNA. RefSeq lists it as uncharacterized. Lineage: Eukaryota; Metazoa; Chordata; Aves; Accipitriformes; Cathartidae. The transcript has 4 exons. The record is from RefSeq and is a predicted model, not a curated record.
CUCGCUACCCCCAAAGCCUGAUGUGGCCUCCUCACCUCUUCCACCUGUGCCUGAGUAGCAAACAAGAACCAGCUGUGUAACAUGCACAGCCCACCCAGCAGCAGGUGAGGGGCUGUCCUGGAGAACUUUUAGAGAAAUUGUGAUAGAAACAGAGAACGAACAAAGCAUACUUGGCACAGAGAACAGGAAGAGGACCAGGGAAAGCACUGAAGUAGGCUCUGCCUUUGAAAGGCUGGUGUAGAGCAGGAUGGAGAGCCAUGAGCACAGCGCUUCAAACUGCUGCUUGGACUGCCUGUAGCAGAAGUCACUCACAGUAAGGAAAAGGAAGGAGCAGCCCCUGUUGCAAAUACAGGUAUUCUGGACUGGGACCUGGAGCAGCAGGUGUAAGCCUAUGGAAAACAAGGCAAAAUUCAAUGGGAUGCAGAGGAGACUCUGUAGAAGAACGGAGGCAGGAGCCCAGAAGAGGGCUGGGGAGAGUCACUUGUGCCUCAAGUGACCACCAAGCGCUGCUGGCAAGGACCAGGAGGAUGAGGGAGCAGACAUGAUGAGCUCUCCACCUAGAUUCUGGAUUUCUGCUUUAACUUGACUGCAGAUUUUGAGCUGAUGGGAGUACAGCUUGAUCUGUUCUAGAGUUUAUUCAACUUGAUCCACAGAUCUUCUGGAUCAGCGGGAACAGGAAAAUAAGAACGUCUUACAGAAAAUUCACUGAUUUCAAUACUUUUAACACCACGGGGUUUUUAAUAAAAAUAGCAUCUUUCUACCCUCACUUGUGAGCUCCCAAAAUA